GCAUAACGCGAAGAACCUUACCUACCCUUGACAUGUCUGGAAUCCUUUAGAGAUAGAGGAGUGCUCGCAAGAGAACCGGAACACAGGUGCUGCAUGGCUGUCGUCAGCUCGUGUCGUGAGAUGUUGGGUUAAGUCCCGCAACGAGCGCAACCCUUGUCAUUAGUUGCUACGAAAGGGCACUCUAAUGAGACUGCCGGUGACAAACCGGAGGAAGGUGGGGAUGACGUCAAGUCCUCAUGGCCCUUAUGGGUAGGGCUUCACACGUCAUACAAUGGUCGGGACAGAGGGUCGCCAACCCGCGAGGGGGAGCCAAUCCCAGAAACCCGAUCGUAGUCCGGAUUGCAGGCUGCAACUCGCCUGCAUGAAGUCGGAAUCGCUAGUAAUCGCGGAUCAGCAUGUCGCGGUGAAUACGUUCCCGGGUCUUGUACACACCG
Molecule: ribosomal RNA, 434 nt
Filed under: uncultured bacterium
Lineage: Bacteria
Description: bacterial SSU rRNA
Rfam family: Bacterial small subunit ribosomal RNA
Source: RNAcentral